UCUCCUCGACUCGCCUCUCCGACCUCGGCCACCAUGACUCCUACGGCGCUACACAGAACUACGCCGGCGAAGCCAGCCUCGGCGUGCCGGGACAAGCGCCCGCGCCGCGCCCCGCCAACCCCUUCCUGCAGGAGGCGGCGGGCGGCUACAGGUAAACUACACAAGAGACGGCGACUCCACGGCCGCUGACUAUUUUGUAGCUCAAACAGUUCGUAUGGAAUCGAGUCUUACAACGCUUCAUACGCCUUACGUAAUUCAGUUGAAAACUGUAUCCAAUAUAAGGAAUCUUUAGACUCGAUCUUUAGAAAAAAGUGCAGUCAGAAUCUUUCUAAAUGCAGUUUCACCUUUACGAUUUAGGAACCUGAAAUUCCUGAAUUAAGUAAGUUGUAUGAGGCACUGAUACCUUUAUAGGACAUUCAUAAACACAUGUUGUACCCGGCGAAGUAGAAGAAAAAGAAGAAAUAUUGUAUCCGAGGCAAAAAAAAUACUGUUCUUUUGUAUUUUAACUAUUCUUAUUGCAAAAUGUUUUAGGCACAGAGUUACGACAUUUUUAUACCACGUCGCAAGAAACAACUAAACAGCUCGCCAGAUGUUAAAAGGUUACCUAUACUUUUAUUUAUGUAUGGAAUAUGUAGUUCCUUAAGAAAACCAGAGCGUUCGCGGAAGGACAAUCUAAGCUUUAAUUAUUUCUUAGAACUUGAAGUCGCGGGUCGCGAAUCCUUUAUGGAAUUCGACGCGACUUCUAAAAACCUUGUUAUUUGAUGUUUUGAUGUAAAUAUGUGUUAGGUACAUGGAAAUUAUCGCUUUUGAAAGACUUCGCGAUUUAUUUUGUAUAAUGAUUUGGCUUUUCUAGUAAAAUUUUAAGCUAGUCCAAAGACUCGAGUCUUUACCAACACUACACAAUCCUUCGAGAACCCAGGUUCUUCGUAGCUUCGGUACUAAGUAUUAUUAAUAGGCGGUUGAUAUUUAAGAUUCAUAUGCAAGAAGCUUAUAAAAACAAUGGAGGUUACACUAAGAACAAUAGUUAAGUGCAAUGUAAUUUGACCUUGAAUGAUGAAGGAUUUCUUACUUGGUGAUUCAGACUAUAGAGUACAGUUACUUCGGAAUUACCGCGAAGAACGAGAAGAUAAGACGUCUGUGCUGUGAAUCAAUGUCAUUUCCCUGGCUCCAGUGAUUUUAUAUGCUAAUUUCUUGUUGAUGGUCAGCCGCCACGUAUUAUUAUGCCCGCGCCAAACUUGCUGUGUGAACCCAAAAGAUAUAGAGGUAAAUAAACACGAAUCGUAAACUGAAAAGAUUCUCCACGCUCUUUUUGGUUGGUUAAAAGUUAGGGAACAAAUCGGGGUUAAUGGGAGAAAUUAAUCCAAAUUCGUGUGUAAAGGUUUCGCGCACUAAGUGUGGAGGGGCUUUAGUGUAAGUAGGUUAAGGGUCGACGAAUAUCGCUGUAGCAGCGUCUCGCCCGCGGCCGGUGGCCGGCCACUAUAAGGGUACUUGCUAUAAUUGUUCUAGGUGCAUUCUACUGAAAUGCUUUUUUGCAUGGCAGCUACUUCAAAAAAUCCUUAAAGCUCAUAUACUGCCAAUUUGUUAGGCAAGAAAUGAAAUAUUGUCAUACAUAAAAUCGCUUUAGCGUUUCCAGAAGUAUUUUUUGAGCCUCUCAUGGAAUGCCGUAAAUAUCAAACUUUUUUUACAACACGAAAUAAAUUGAUGGUGUUAUCAAUACAACUCUUCACGAUUUGCUCACGAUUCGUGAGCAUUUCGUGAAGCGUUUGUGCAUUCGGCUACGCACACAGGCCGGAUUGACUACUUUUUCGAUAAAGACAAGAUCUACCACUAAACGUGUCAUUAAAACUUGAUUUAUGUAAGUAUAAGCAUUAAGCAUCAUCAGCUGUAGAACAUAAUGGCAAGUACCCCACAAACGUUACAUUGUGUUCGCGGUGUUCGCUGUUGCUACGUCUCGUUUCUUUUGUACCGGUGUAUUGUGAACUUAUAUUACGCCAGGGGUCUCCAACCUUUUUGACCAGAGAGCCACUAAUUCGGCGAUAUUUUCUAGCCAUGAUGGUUAGAUUCUGUGCCGGAUCCGGCCCUGGUCAGAGUUUGGAGACCCCUGACUUACGCUAUACCCGUACUGUCACGGUGUCAUAUCAUGGUGUGAUGUAGACCGGCUCACGGAGGGAAAUCCGAUCCGUGAUCCGUAUUUUGUUGAUAAUGUAGCAGAUAUUCAUAUUAUAUAACUAUAUUAUAGCUAUAUGUAUACAAUGUAGAUUUGUUGUAAAGAUAUUCUUAUUGACAAAUAUCGCUGUUGGAGUACCAGAAAUCGAGCGAGUGUAUUAUUAAGUAGAGUCCGUUCACGGUGAGUUCAUGCCAAACGCGACGUCAAAUAUGGCGCUUCCAUACAUUGCCACUCCAACUUAGCCGUAAGAGGACACUACAUGGUAAAAAACUAUUGUUAAAAAAUAUUUUUACAUGAUCGCCAGAAACUGACUUUGUCGCACGAUUAACAAAUUUAUUUUACAUGUUAACAGUUGUAUGUUUCAAAGGAUUUUUCAUUGUUACCCCUUUAUUAUGGCGUGUCCGUUUUCUGGCCCGACGACAACGAUAUUUGCUUAUUGAGGAGGUGGGCACGAGUUAUAUUUUUGCACUUUCUCUCCGUCUGCCGCGCUGCGCCCUGCUCCAUCCGGGACGGAUCCGGCCCGUCUGAUCUGUUCAGGGUAAGAUAACGUACGGAUCGCGCUGGCGAACGACUUUCAAUUUCAAAACGUGUAACGAUUAAAUGUUGAACUAUUGA
Molecule: long non-coding RNA, 2782 nt
Filed under: Leguminivora glycinivorella
Lineage: Eukaryota; Metazoa; Arthropoda; Insecta; Lepidoptera; Tortricidae
Description: uncharacterized LOC125229387
Source: RNAcentral